GAGAGAGAGAGAGAGAGAGAAAAAGUUAUUACUUCUCAACUUUACCAAUUUUUGCUGAUUUACAAAAAGUAUAUGUUUUACACAGGACCAACGGUUAUUACAUUAGGGUCAAAAGAAAGAAACGUCGGUCGAAUGAAGGGUUUUCAAAACGAACCUGUCAGGUAUAAACCGAUACGCAGCUGUGGCCGAUCGUAUUAAAUGUAUAAUUAUCGAAUCAUUAAGUUUCCAUUCUGACAAGCGGCGAAAAAAUUAAUUGACAAAUUGCUCUUCGUCAAACUACUUUCUGCUAUUACAAUGUGACAGUUAAAAAAACAAUAUAUCUUGCGUAUCAUUGAAACUACUCAAUAUUGACUAUGUCUUUUAGACAUCCUUUUAUCUCUUGAUAUCAAAUCCUAGUUUCUUGCAAAAUCUAUUAGAUAAAAAAGGUGAAUUUGUGUUUUACUUUACAUUGACUAUUAUUACCGUUUACUAUUUUUUUAACUGUUUGAUAGAAUAUAGUUUCAUUCAAAGUUUUGUUUUUACAACAAAGAAACAUGCUCUUAAAACACUAAAUAAAGUGUGCGUGUUAUCUUUAUGUUAGAUUGUAUUGAUAAUCAUUGUAUGUAUGUACAGUAAGAUAUGUAUACAUAUCUUAUUAUUUCUUUUUGUGUGGUUGAUAAUAUCGUUGAUAUACGUACAAUUAAUUCAAAGAUUAAGAUUUUAUAUUCAAUCUCUUUAAUUAGCGCGCUUUGUAUAUAAUACAUGCUUUUCUUUCAAAUUUUAAGAUUCAGAGAGAUAAACAAAGAGAUAGACAAGAAGAUGGACAAAUUUUCGACAGUUCUCUACGUGUAACUUGCUAACAUAUGAUUCCGUAGCAUAACGUCCAGUACAAUGAAAUCAUAAGACGCGACGCAAUCCUGCAGUCUACAGGAGAACUCGCUGAUCGCCGUUAUUAACGGGCCUGGCAGAAAGAUAUUCUCGAUCUCUUGACGGCAUCUUCUCGCACUGUUGUAUCAAAAUUUUAACAUCUACAACAAAAGCAAUUCUUUUAUACGGUCAGGGGAUAUUAAAAAAAAUAAAUUUAUCUUC
Monomorium pharaonis (pharaoh ant) is the source of this 1068-nucleotide long non-coding RNA. RefSeq lists it as uncharacterized. NCBI's taxonomy places the organism in Eukaryota, Metazoa, Arthropoda, Insecta, Hymenoptera, Formicidae. The record is from RefSeq and is a predicted model, not a curated record. The transcript has 3 exons.